GAUUAAGCUACUAAGAGCGUACGGUGGAUGCCUUGGCGCUAGAAGGCGAUGAAGGACGUGGCAAGCUGCGAAAAGCCUCGGGGAGCCGCAAGCAGGCUUUGAUCCGGGGAUGUCCGAAUGGAGAAAUCCAGCGGGAUGAACUCCCGUUACAGCAGGCUGAAUACAUAGGCCUGUAUGAGCUAACGCAGGGAAGUGAACCAUCUCAGUACCUGCAGGAAAAUAAAUCACAGAGAUUCCGAAAGUAGCGGCGAGCGAAAUCGGAAUAGCCCAAACCCAAGUGCUUGCACUUGGGGGUUGUAGGACCGCAUGAGUAGAGUUACCAAUCUGGAUGCUACGCGAACCCGAAGGAAAGCGGGACCAUAGAGUGUGACAGUCACGUAGCGGAAAGCAGACCAGACUCGAAGCGGUAUCCUGAGUACCACGAGACACGUGUAAUCUCGUGGGAAACUGGGGAGACCACUCUCCAAGGCUAAAUACUCUCUAGCGACCGAUAGUGAACCAGUACCGUGAGGGAAAGGCGAAAAGCACCCCUGCGAGGGGAGUGAAAUAGAACCUGAAACCGUAUGCUUACAAGCAGUCGGAGGGCCAUGUACGGACUUCGGUCCGUAAAAGCCUGACGGCGUGCCUCUUGCUUAAUGAGCCGGCUAGUUAUUCUUACGUGCAAGGUUAAGCGCAAGCGAGCCGUAGCGAAAGCGAGUCCGAAUAGGGCGACAAGUACGUAGGAAUAGACGCGAAGCGGGAUGAUCUACCCUUGGCCAGGUUGAAGGCUGCUUAACCGCAGCUGGAGGACCGAACAGGUGUGAGUUGAAAAUCGCUCUGAUGAGCUGAGGGUAGGGGUGAAAGGCUAAUCAAAUUCCGUGAUAGCUCGUUCUCCCCGAAAUGUCUUUAGGGACAGCCUUGCAUGAAUUCCCACGGUGGUAGAGCUCUGAAUGGACUAGGGACCAACUCAGGUUACCGAAUCCAAUCAAACUUCGAAUGCCGUGGAGAACUGUGCGGGAGUGAGACUACGAGGGAUAAGCUUCGUGGUCAAAAGGGAAACAGCCCAGAUCGCCAGCUAAGGUCCCUAACUGUAUGCUAAGUGGUAAAGGAAGUGUAUUCGCUCGGACAGCCAGGAGGUUGGCUUAGAAGCAGCCAUCCUUUAAAGAAAGCGUAACAGCUCACUGGUCAAGCGGAUAUGCACCAACAAUCCAACGGGGCUCAAGCAUACGACCGAAGCUGCGAAAUGGUUAUUUCUUCGGAAAUAAUCUUUGGUAGGGGAGCAUUGCGUGGUGAGCAAAGGCGGACUGAAAAGACUGCUGAAUGCCACACAAGAGACCCUGCCGGCAUAAGUAGCGAUAAACACGAUGAGAACUCGUGUCGCCGAAAGUCUAAGGUUUCCUGAGGAAGGUUAAUCCGCUCAGGGUUAGGCGGGUCCUAAGGUGAGGCCGAAAGGCGUAACUGAUGGACAGCAGGUCAAUAUUCCUGCCCCGCCUGGCAACGUUUGACGAUGGGGUGACGCAGAAGGAUAAAGGGAUCCACCUGAUGGAUGGUGGAUGACGAGCGUAAGCCGGUUCCCGUAGGCAAAUCCGCGGGGGCAUUCAACGGUGAGGCUCGGCACGUGGCCGUAUGGCCGACAAGUCUCUGAUUUCACGCUGCCAGGAAAAACCUCUAAGGAGUUAGCCAGGUGCCCGUACCACAAACCGACACAGGUAGACGAGGUGAAUAUCCACAGGCGCUCGAGAGAACGCUUGCUCAGGAACUAGGCACAUUAGCCCCGUAACUUCGGGAGAAGGGGCGCCAUCGCAAGAUGGCCGCAGUGAAUCGCGCUCUGCAACUGUUUAACAAAAACACAGCUCUCUGCUAAGUCGAAUACGACGUAUAGGGGGUGACACCUGCCCGGUGCCGGAAGGUUAAAGCAAGGGCUCAGCCCGCAAGGGCGAAGGCUCGAACUGAAGCCCCGGUGAACGGCGGCCGUAACUAUAACGGUCCUAAGGUAGCGAAAUUCCUUGUCGGGUAAGUUCCGACCUGCACGAAUGGUGGAAUGAUAGAGCGACUGUCUUGGCAAGCGGCUCGGCGAAUUUGUGGUUCCGGUGAAGACGCCGGAUGCCCGCAUCUAGACGGAAAGACCCCGUGCACCUUAACUGCACUCUGGUCAUGAGUAACGGUCCGAUCUGCGUAGCAUAGGCAGGAGUCUGUGAACCCCGGGUUUCGGCUUGGGGGGAGACAUCAGUGAAAUACUGCCCUGAUUGAACUGUCGCUCUAACCUACCACCCGUGACGGGUGGGGAGACACGGCCAGACGGGUAGUUUGACUGGGGCGGUCGCCUCCUAAACUGUAACGGAGGCGCUCAAAGAUCGGCUCAAGCGGAUUGGAAACCCGCUGUGGAGUGCAAGAGCAUAAGCCGGUUUGACUGUGAGACCUACAAGUCGAGCAGGAACGAAAGUUGGAUCUAGUGAUCCGGUGGUCCCGCGUGGAAGGGCCAUCGCUCAACGGAUAAAAGGUACGCCGGGGAUAACAGGCUGAUCUAAGCCAAGAGUUCACAUCGACGCUUAGGUUUGGCACCUCGAUGUCGGCUCAUCGCAUCCUGGGGCUGUAGAAGGUCCCAAGGGUUAGGCUGUUCGCCUAUUAAAGCGGUACGUGAGCUGGGUUCAGAACGUCGCGAGACAGUUCGGUCCCUAUCUGGUGUGGGCGCAGGAAACUUGAGAGGAGUUGUCCCUAGUACGAGAGGACCGGGAUGAACAGACCCCUUGUGUACGAGCUGUCCCGCCAGGGGCACCGCUCGGUAGCGAAGUCUGGUAGAGAUAAUUGCUGAAUGCAUCUAAGCAAGAAGCUCGCCUCAAGAUAAGGUUUCCCAAGGGAACAAUCCCUAUGAAGAGCAGUCGAAGACUACGACUUUGAUAGGCUGGAGGUGGAAGCACAGCAAUGUGUGGAGCUGACCAGUACUAAUCGCUCGUUCGGCUUAAUCAU
Molecule: ribosomal RNA, 2946 nt
Filed under: Acidobacteriota bacterium
Lineage: Bacteria; Pseudomonadati; Acidobacteriota
Description: Acidobacteria bacterium (activated sludge metagenome) 23S ribosomal RNA
Rfam family: Bacterial large subunit ribosomal RNA
Source: RNAcentral